Molecule: ribosomal RNA, 443 nt
Filed under: uncultured bacterium
Lineage: Bacteria
Description: partial 16S ribosomal RNA
Rfam family: Bacterial small subunit ribosomal RNA
Source: RNAcentral
CCUACGGGAGGCAGCAGUGGGGAAUAUUGGGCAAUGGAGGAAACUCUGACCCAGCAACGCCGCGUGAAUGAUGAAGGUCUUCGGAGUGUAAAGUUCUUUUCAAAGGGAAGAAGAAAGAGACGGUACCUUCGGAAUAAGCAUCCGCUAACUACGUGCCAUCAGCCGCGGUAAUACGUAGGAGGCGAGCUUUAUCCGGAAUGACUGGGCGUAAAGGGUGCGUAGAUGGGUUGUCAAGUUAGUAGAGUAACUCCAAGGCUCAACCUUGAAACUACUACUAAAACUGUUGGACCUGAGUACAGUAGGGGCAACCGGAAUUCCUAGUGUAGCGGUGGAAUGCUUAGAUAUUACGAGGAACCCCAGUGGCGAAGGCAGGUUGCUAGACUGUAACUGACACUGAGGCACGAAAGCGUGGGGAGCAAACAGGAUUAGAUACCCGGGUAGUC